AGUACUGACCAAUCGCUGCUUAAUUGUAGAGGAAAGUCCACGCUAGCACAAACUGCAAUGUUUGUAGUGUUCAUGAUGAAGGAAAAAAUAACUUCAUGCACAUUUUUAAUGUGACGGCAGGCUCUUAUCUAAGUGUUUUAUAUACAUAUGGUAAUCCUUGAAAGUGCCACAGAGACGAAUUUUUUAGAAAUAAAAAAGUGGAACGGGUAAACCCCAUGAGCUAGAAACCCAAAUAAAGGCGUAGCCUAUGGUAGGGGAAUUUAAAUUCAAGAAACAAAUUGAAAUUUAAAAGAUGAUUUAUCAUCUAGAUAAAUGAUUGGAUAAAACAAAACGUGGCUUACUGGU
This 345-nucleotide RNase P RNA is filed under the name Mycoplasmataceae bacterium. RNAcentral describes it as "RNase P RNA component class B". It matches the Rfam family "Bacterial RNase P class B". Rfam says of the family: Ribonuclease P (RNase P) is a ubiquitous endoribonuclease, found in archaea, bacteria and eukarya as well as chloroplasts and mitochondria. Its best characterised activity is the generation of mature 5'-ends of tRNAs by cleaving the 5'-leader elements of precursor-tRNAs. The record is from RNAcentral. Lineage: Bacteria; Bacillati; Mycoplasmatota; Mollicutes; Mycoplasmatales; Mycoplasmataceae.